AGAGUGAACGCUGGCGGCAGGCCUAACACAUGCAAGUCGAACGGCAGCACAGCAAGAGCUUGCUCUUGUGGGUGGCGAGUGGCGGACGGGUGAGGAAUACGUCGGAAUCUACCUAUUUGUGGGGGAUAACGUAGGGAAACUUACGCUAAUACCGCAUACGACCUACGGGUGAAAGCGGAGGACCUUCGGGCUUCGCGCGGAUAGAUGAGCCGACGUCGGAUUAGCUAGUUGGCGGGUAAAGGCCCACCAAGGCGACGAUCCGUAGCUGGUCUGAGAGGAUGAUCAGCCACACUGGAACUGAGACACGGUCCAGACUCCUACGGGAGGCAGCAGUGGGGAAUAUUGGACAAUGGGCGCAAGCCUGAUCCAGCCAUGCCGCGUGUGUGAAGAAGGCCUUCGGUUGUAAAGCACUUUUGCCGGUAAAGAAAGCAACUGGUUAAUACCCUGGUGUCAUGACGGUACCGGAAGAAUAAGCACCGGCUAACGUUCGACGCCAGCA
This 499-nucleotide ribosomal RNA is filed under the name uncultured soil bacterium. RNAcentral's name for it is "bacterial SSU rRNA". It matches the Rfam family "Bacterial small subunit ribosomal RNA", at positions 26 to 513 of the family's 1533-position model. The record is from RNAcentral.